CAGUCGAACGAAACUUCUUUAUCACCGAGUGCUUGCACUCACCGAUAAAGAGUUGAGUGGCGAACGGGUGAGUAACACGUGGGCAACCUGCCCAAAAGAGGGGGAUAACACUUGGAAACAGGUGCUAAUACCGCAUAACCAUAGUUACCGCAUGGUAACUAUGUAAAAGGUGGCUAUGCUACCGCUUUUGGAUGGGCCCGCGACGCAUUAGCUAGUUGGUGGGGUAAAGGCUUACCAAGGCAAUGAUGCGUAGCCGAACUGAGAGGUUGAUCGGCCACACUGGGACUGAGACACGGCCCAGACUCCUGCGGGAGGCAGCAGUGGGGAAUAUUGCACAAUGGGGGGAACCCUGAUGCAGCGACGCCGCGUGGGUGAAGGAGCACCUCGGUGCGUAAAGCCCUAUCGGCAGGGAAGAAACAGACGGUACCUGACUAAGAAGCCCCGGCUAACUACGUGCCAGCAGCCGCGGUAAUACGUAGGGGGCAAGCGUUAUCCGGAUUCACUGGGUGUAAAGGGAGCGUAGACGGCGACGCAAGUCUGGAGUGAAAGCCCGGGGCCCAACCCCGGGACUGCUCUGGAAACUGCGGCGCUGGAGUACGGGAGGGGCAGGCGGAAUUCCUGGUGUAGCGGUGAAAUGCGUAGAUAUCAGGAGGAACACCGGCGGCGAAGGCGGCCUGCUGGACCGUGACUGACGUUGAGGCUCGAGAGCGUGGGGAGC
Molecule: ribosomal RNA, 718 nt
Filed under: uncultured bacterium
Lineage: Bacteria
Description: bacterial SSU rRNA
Rfam family: Bacterial small subunit ribosomal RNA
Source: RNAcentral